CUCCCAAACCCCUGUGACAUACCUUAUGUUGCCUCGGCGGAUCAGCCCGCGCCCCGUAAAAAGGGACGGCCCGCCGCAGGAACCUUAAACUCUGUUUUUAGUGGAACUUCUGAGUAUAAAAAACAAAUAAAUCAAAACUUUCAACAACGGAUCUCUUGGUUCUGGCAUCGAUGAAGAACGCAGCAAAAUGCGAUAAGUAAUGUGAAUUGCAGAAUUCAGUGAAUCAUCGAAUCUUUGAACGCACAUUGCGCCCGCCAGUAUUCUGGCGGGCAUGCCUGUUCGAGCGUCAUUUCAACCCUCAAGCCCAGCUUGGUGUUGGGAGCUGCAGUCCUGCUGCACUCCCCAAAUACAUUGGCGGUCACGUCGAGCUUCCAUAGCGUAGUAAUUUACAUAUCGUUACUGGUAAUCGUCGCGGCCACGCCGUUAAACCCCAACUUCUGAAUGUUGACCUCGGAUCAGGUAGGAAUACCCGCUGAACUUAAGCAUAUC
This 489-nucleotide ribosomal RNA is filed under the name Fusarium culmorum. Its description in RNAcentral is "eukaryotic LSU rRNA". The stretch from base 136 to 289 matches the Rfam family "5.8S ribosomal RNA". The record is from RNAcentral. Lineage: Eukaryota; Fungi; Ascomycota; Sordariomycetes; Hypocreales; Nectriaceae.